This 429-nucleotide ribosomal RNA is filed under the name Verrucomicrobiota bacterium. Its description in RNAcentral is "Verrucomicrobia bacterium partial 16S ribosomal RNA". It matches the Rfam family "Bacterial small subunit ribosomal RNA", at positions 355 to 776 of the family's 1533-position model. Lineage: Bacteria; Pseudomonadati; Verrucomicrobiota. The record is from RNAcentral.
UAGGGAAUCUUCCGCAAUGGACGAAAGUCUGACGGAGCAACGCCGCGUGAGUGAAGAAGGAUUUCGGUUCGUAAAACUCUGUUGUUAGGGAAGAAAAAAUGUAUAGUAACUAUAUACAAAAGAGACGGUACCUAACCAGAAAGCCACGGCUAACUACGUGCCAGCAGCCGCGGUAAUACGUAGGUGGCAAGCGUUGUGCGGAAUUAUUGGGCGUAAAGAGCGCGCAGGUGGUUUAGAAAGUCUGAUGUGAAAGCCCCCGGCUCAACCGUGGAGGGUCAUUGGAAACUAAUAAACUGGAGUGCAGGAGAGAAAAGUGGAAUUCCUAGUGUGGCGGUGAAAUGCGUAGAGAUUAGGAGGAACACCGGUGGCGAAAGCGGCUUUUUGGCCUGCAACUGACACUGAGGCGCGAAAGCGUGGGGAGCAAACAGG